This 468-nucleotide ribosomal RNA is filed under the name uncultured bacterium. RNAcentral describes it as "partial 16S ribosomal RNA". It matches the Rfam family "Bacterial small subunit ribosomal RNA", at positions 28 to 507 of the family's 1533-position model. The record is from RNAcentral.
GACGAACGCUGGCGGCGUGCUUAACACAUGCAAGUCGAACGGAAAGGCCCUGCUUUUGUGGGGUGCUCGAGUGGCGAACGGGGGAGUAAAACGUGAGUAACCUGCCCUUGACUUCGGGAUAACUUCAGGAAAAUGGGGCUAAUACCGGAUAGGAGCUCUUGCUGCAUGGGGGGGGUUGGAAAGUUUCGGCGGUUGGGGAUGGACUCGCGGCUUAGCAGCUUGUUGGUGGGGUAGUGGCUUACCAAGGCUUUGACGGGUAGCCGGCCUGGGAGGCUGACCGGCCCCAUUGGCACUGAGAUACGGCCCAGACUCCUACGGGAGGCAGCGGUGGGGAAUAUUGCACAAUGGGCCGAGGCCUGAUGCAGCAACGCCGCGUGCGGGAUGACUGCCUUCGGGUUGUAAACCUCUUUCGCCUGUGACGAAGCGUGAGUGACGGUAAUUGGUAAGAAAGCACCGGCUAACUACGUG